UCUUCAGUUUACUCCAUACUACUAGACUGAAGAAUAAUGUUUAGCAGUCUUACUCAGCACUGAUUCAGCACUUCUCUCUGAGCAGUCAUCCAUUUCUCAGAAGCACAGAACAGUUAAGACACAGCCUUAAUGUUCUCAGCAUCGAUUCUGGAUGAAGGGGAUGGAGUGGACUCAGAGAAAUGUCUAGUCAUCACUAAAACAAAAGGCAACUGCAGCAACCAAAGAGCAGCACAGUCCAUGGUUCAAGCAGCUGGGACUUCAGGCUAGGUUAGUGGAACUUGCCUAAUUCCUCCGUCUGCCCUUCUUUCCCCUCUGGCAUGGCCACUCCACUGGAAAUUGGUGUUCCUGCACCUGAUGUCCUAUCUGGAAGGACCAACAACUGAUAAAGCAGCGUUCUGGCAGCCAUGGCAUUCCCAGCACAGGUGCCAUUUCCUGUAGGUCCAGUAAGUUUCCCAGGUUUUUCUUCUUGUUCUCUGAAGUGCUGGAGGAAGCCUCUUCCCACACUUGCCCAUUUGAGGUGAUGUUGGAUUUCUUUGUCAAUGGCAACCUUCUGCAAGAGAUGCCUUCCAAGGUAUGAGAAAUAUUCAGUGUUCUCCAAAGUCUCACAAUGAAUCUGAAUUACCAGAGCUGGGGACUGCUCAUUAAGAGUUUGUUGAUAGAGCUUCUGAAUGUUAAGCAUAAGUCUCAUUUUCUUGUAUGCCUCAGUAAAGAUGUUGAUAAUUACCUGAAGGUCUGCUUCUGAGUGAGCACAUGCUACAGCAUCAUCAGCAUACUGGAGAUUGAGGCCAGGGUGGUCUAAAAUGCCGAAUUAUUUUGACUUAUAUUCAACCAUUUGAAAAACUUUAAAUGUAUUACCAUUUCAGUCCGACGCCACAACCUACAACUCCAUUUUGAUUACAGGAAUUCAAUUCAAUUCAAUUGCCAUGUUCCAAAUACUAAUCCAUAGUUGCAUUAUUGACAAUGUAGUAAGAAUAUCUAUAUCUUGAUAUUCGUACUAUUACAAUUACUGCAUAUAGUCAUGCAUGACGCAAGGAUUUCUUAAGGUGAAAUCUUUUAUUAUCCAAACUAUGCAGCUGGUUUACAGUUAGACUUCCAUUAGGUCAGACCAGGAACUGCCAAUACAGCACAGUUAAACAAGCAAACCAAAAACCCCACACAAACACAC
Molecule: long non-coding RNA, 1165 nt
Organism: Alligator mississippiensis (American alligator)
Lineage: Eukaryota; Metazoa; Chordata; Crocodylia; Alligatoridae
Exons: 3
Source: RefSeq, a predicted model, not a curated record